UUCAAGGUUCACUGACGACAGCGGGGAUUACGUCGAUUCUACCGACACCCUCGGGCUGUGCUUCGGAAAGCACUGCCACCCUCACCGGCCCCACCGUGGCACCGCCUCCCGCGGGAAGCCCUCCCUGAGCUCCCGCUGCCGGGACACCUGCUCACAAGACCCCAUGAGAUCAAGACCACGUGGUAACCUGCCCCACUUGUGGUCCCCAAGGGUCCUUGUCCCUGCUUCCCCAACGACCGUGGCUUCCGGAUGUGCAACGCCUGUGCCCUAGAUUCUCCAGCUACUUGAUAAGCGUCUUUCAACAAAAGGUGAACGGAGAAACGCUCAUGACAGCCCGGGAACCCGAUGUGUAUAAUGUCGGCGUGGCCACGGUGAGCCCCGUGUGCUUGCUUAUUAAGACGUACGCUGAGGAGGUAAUUGUCUGCCCCACAGUUACAAAUGACCAUCUCUAUUUCACUUCUCGCCAUAUAGAAAAAUGGAAAUGCAGCACGUGAUUUAGGUAAUGAGCAAUGAAUGAGUGGCUUUCUCGGGGAGGACGGUGCUUCCCACCGUCGGCAGCUCUCGGACUGACGUGCUGUGAGGAACACGCCUCUAUCCUGGCGCUCCCGCGGGUCGGGCUCGACGAGGAGGCGGUGAGGGGCGGGGGGAGGUCUUCUGUCCUCGGGAAGCAAUAACCCCUCUUCCCAAAGCGCUCUAGGAAGUUCUCUCCCAGUGUGCUCCAGAGAUCACUAUCCCUUGCUAUGCACUCUGGGGCCGGCUCCCUCCUCCGCAGACGCGCGGGGCCACGGCUCUGCUCUGGAGAAAGUUAAGCACUUUCAAAGCCUCUGAGUUUCCGCUCCAAAGGCUGAUUACAAAAAGAACCCACACUCUCUGUAUUUCAUGCUCCCCAUUCCGUAGUCCAGAGAGGCUUCCUCUUGUGCUAACUGGAAGCUUCCCUUUCACAGCCCCUCUCUCUGCUGGUCCCUCCACUCCGUGGCUGUGCCAGCUUAUCUCCCCAAAUCACAUACACGUGCCUCAAUCCUGCCAGGCUGUCUCCUUCCAACUGUGGACAUCAUUCUGCCGAUCCACCGAUCGAUUUCCUGGGUGUUCUAAGUAAUCUGACCUCGAUACAGCCGCGUUUGAGAGGAGGAACACCCCAGUCCCCCUACUUCUCCGCCUUCUUAACUCCUCUCAAAAAGAUGUCAAUUAAGUGAGGCGAA
Lynx canadensis (Canada lynx) is the source of this 1199-nucleotide long non-coding RNA. RefSeq lists it as uncharacterized. Lineage: Eukaryota; Metazoa; Chordata; Mammalia; Carnivora; Felidae. The transcript is spliced from 2 exons. The record is from RefSeq and is a predicted model, not a curated record.